Molecule: non-coding RNA, 78 nt
Organism: Haemonchus contortus (barber pole worm)
Lineage: Eukaryota; Metazoa; Nematoda; Chromadorea; Rhabditida; Trichostrongylidae
Source: Rfam
UUUAUGCAGCAGCAUAGGACUGAAUUGCGGGAGGACUUGUAUGAUUCUACCCCUUUUCAUCUUUAUGCUGCUUUGGAG